Molecule: small nucleolar RNA, 87 nt
Organism: Nymphaea colorata (pocket water lily)
Lineage: Eukaryota; Viridiplantae; Streptophyta; Magnoliopsida; Nymphaeales; Nymphaeaceae
Product: small nucleolar RNA Z221/R21b
Exons: 1
Source: RefSeq, a predicted model, not a curated record
UGGCUAUGAUGAGAAAGUUUGUCAUGCACCACUCUGAUUCCCAUCGGGUUGUGAUGAUACUUGACUUUACCCAUUGAAUCUGAGCUC